This 71-nucleotide transfer RNA is filed under the name Neurergus strauchii (Anatolia newt). Its description in RNAcentral is "tRNA-Thr". It matches the Rfam family "tRNA". Rfam says of the family: Transfer RNA (tRNA) molecules are approximately 80 nucleotides in length. Lineage: Eukaryota; Metazoa; Chordata; Amphibia; Caudata; Salamandridae. The record is from RNAcentral.
GCUCAGAUAGUUUAGGAAAACAUCGGUCUUGUAAGCCGAAAUCGAGGACUCACACCCUCUCAGAGCAAACC